CGGACAUGUAAGUGCUCCGAGUAGGUGUGAGAGCCGUGUAGGUGGCUCUCUCGCUUAGGCGGAGGUCGAGGAAGCGGGGUCGCUGACGUCCCCAGUCUGACGCCGAGCGGCUGAUCUCCGACCGAACCACGGGCGAGAGAACCACGUUACGUUAAGUGCGAUUGGAUGUUGCGAAGCACUUUCGUACCACGGAAAAGAUCAAUGACGUGUCGGGAAUAGCGCCAAGGCGACCUGAGACCGAACGUAGCGAGUCACGUCAGAAUGCAAGCAAGGAAUUUCACCGUACGAGAAGAUAGCUUUCAGGACGACUAGGAUCAUCAUCGCCCAAGAGCUACCAAUAAACACGAAGAGGGAAACAUUUUUCCGUCGCAUCUUUCAGCGUCUAUCUCACAACACUCGUAAGGACAACUCGUGACAGGUUUUCGGACAGAUUUCUCCGCUCAUCGGAUAAAAAAUAUACAUCUCAAAGGGUGUCCAUUAUUCAUUCGAACACAUGUUCAGUCAGCCAGCGAAACAAGAUAGUUUUAGAUAGCAGAGUCCUCAGAGAAACAAUAUCUGUAUUUAAUUAACUGUAAUGAUAUGCAUAAUUAUUAUUUUUUAUAUAAUAACACAAAAAAAUUAUUAUAG
Molecule: long non-coding RNA, 627 nt
Organism: Camponotus floridanus (Florida carpenter ant)
Lineage: Eukaryota; Metazoa; Arthropoda; Insecta; Hymenoptera; Formicidae
Exons: 4
Source: RefSeq, a predicted model, not a curated record